Molecule: long non-coding RNA, 358 nt
Organism: Erinaceus europaeus (western European hedgehog)
Lineage: Eukaryota; Metazoa; Chordata; Mammalia; Eulipotyphla; Erinaceidae
Exons: 2
Source: RefSeq, a predicted model, not a curated record
CUUGGCCUGAGGGUGGACCCCUGCCUGAUCCCAGUGCCCCUGGGGGCCCCCUGCCGGCCGCCACCACCCCAUCCCCCCAAGACCUGCGGCCAGAGAGACUGCCGAGGGGGGCACUCUCGGCACCCCCGUGACACAGCUGGCUGCCGGCCCUGGGUUCGAGGGCUCCAGGUGAUUCUGCCGAGCACCGGCCAGCCGCCCUCCCUGGUUUCAGGGACAGCGGGGACCCGGGGGUCAGUAAGGAUGGCGGGACAGAGGGACAAGAAAAGGGUUUGGGGUGGCAGGGACAGGAGAUCAGGAGAGGGGCAGGGGACAGCGGGACCCAGCCGCAGCGUGGAGCACACAGUCCUGGUGACGUGGC